Molecule: ribosomal RNA, 494 nt
Filed under: uncultured bacterium
Lineage: Bacteria
Description: bacterial SSU rRNA
Rfam family: Bacterial small subunit ribosomal RNA
Source: RNAcentral
UGAACGCUAGCGACAGGCCUAACACAUGCAAGUCAGGGGCAGCACAAGGAGCAAUCUGAGGUGGCGACCGGCGCACGGGUGAGUAACACGUAUGCAACCUGCCUGUAAGCGGGGAAUAACCCGUUGAAAGACGGACUAAUACCGCAUAAUACUAAAUUACUGCAUGGUAAUUUAUUUAAACAUUUAUGGCUUACAGAUGGGCAUGCGCAUGAUUAGCUAGUUGGAGAGGUAACGGCUCCCCAAGGCAACGAUCAUUAGGGGUUCUGAGAGGAAGGUCCCCCCACACUGGUACUGAGACACGGACCAGACUCCUACGGGAGGCAGCAGUGAGGAAUAUUGGUCAAUGGACGAGAGUCUGAACCAGCCAAGUCGCGUGCAGGAAGAAUUGUCCUAUGGAUUGUAAACUGCUUUUGCAGGGGAAUAAAGUGCAUCACGUGUGAUGUUUUGUAUGUACUCUGCGAAUAAGGAUCGGCUAACUCCGUGCCAGCAGCCGC